Molecule: unclassified non-coding RNA, 208 nt
Filed under: Hevea brasiliensis (rubber tree)
Lineage: Eukaryota; Viridiplantae; Streptophyta; Magnoliopsida; Malpighiales; Euphorbiaceae
Source: RNAcentral
AAUCAAAUCCUUUGAUUUUCAGAUCAUCAUAAGGCCAAUAGUCGUUUAGCUAACCCUAUUGAACUUUUACAUGGGUUUUUACAGCAAGCGUUUGGGGUUUAAUUUUGGUAUAUUAACCCUGGAUUUUUAUCUUAGAUUUGGCUAAAGUUGAUUAUGUCAAGCAAGUUGCAUGUGGGAGUUGUUGCUUUUUGUUUAAGUUCAAUCUGAU